GAAAUAAAUAAAUUAAGCUUCUAACUUAAUAUUUAGCAAAUUAAUUGUUAUUAUUUCU
This 58-nucleotide transfer RNA is filed under the name Sphindus dubius. RNAcentral describes it as "tRNA-Ser". The record is from RNAcentral. Lineage: Eukaryota; Metazoa; Arthropoda; Insecta; Coleoptera; Sphindidae.